UUAUUGUGGUUAUUGUUAUUAUGGUUGUGUCUGCUGUCCUGUUUUCCGUGUUGGUGUACUGUCAGGUGUUUAUGGGUGUGUGAGGGUGCGGUCGUGGCAGGCACUUUUAGGCCUGGUGGGUGUGGCCCUGCCAGCUGACCGGUCCCACCCAGGAAUCCACACACACCUGGCGCCGAUCAAGCCUCGUCAGAGGAGCUUCAAAACAGUGUGGCUGAGAGCUCCUCGACGCUGGAUCGUUGAGUGACUUCCCGUCAGUCUUAGUUUAUUGUGCAAGAAACGGAUCAGAAAUUUCUGGCACCACAUCGCAGCUCCUUCCACGGAGCCAAGCAUAAGAUCUAAUGAUGGUGAUGAUGAUCCUGAUGAAGGCCACAAGCCGAAAUGUGUCGGUGGAGCAGUGAAGUUUUCUAAAUCAUUCAAAUGUUCCUUGAGCUCCAACUUUCUAUUUCCUUAUUGCUUCAGGACUGUGUGUUGAUUUCACUGACAGCUUAUUUAUUAAUAAGUAAUUAUUAAUAUUAUUGUUGAAAACAACUCCAAGAGCUAAGUUUAGUUUUAUAGAAAAGAGCAGUAUCUCUGUCAGGUGAAUAUCUACAAAUAUACUAACAAAUAAAAUCUGCAUCUGACGAUGACAGUCAGCAAUGCAGCUUGAUUUGAAAACAUUAAUAUGGAAAUAAAAGAAUGAAUGAAUGACUGAUGCUGCCUGAACUUUUAAUGUGACUCUUUCCUUACUUGUUUAAAAUGUCUGAAUAAUUAGUCAUUACUGCUUUUCUUGAAAUCUCAACACAGAAGAAACGCCUGCGACCUUUGAGAGAGAUUGAACAUUGUGUUUUUGAGUGACAGCAGAUUACUGUUUUUGGCGAGUGAUUGAAACUCCACGUGCCGCCAUGACCACCCCGUUUCCCUGAACGUAUAUAUACGUAUGUAUAAUAAUAAGUGUUCAAUGCUUGUACACAGUGUGGGGUUUUCUAAUAUUGUCACUAAUAAAAGAUGAAUAGAAUUUAAGAUGUUUUAAAUAAAGUGGAACUGCUGCCAACCUUUGAAUCU
Astatotilapia calliptera (eastern happy) is the source of this 1041-nucleotide long non-coding RNA. Lineage: Eukaryota; Metazoa; Chordata; Actinopteri; Cichliformes; Cichlidae. The record is from Ensembl.